CGGGAGAGGGCCAGCGAAGGCCUGGGAAGGUGGACCCACAAACUCGUCUCCUAAUGAAGCUAACCAGCAAUGCGAGGGCACACAGGGAGACCCCCUAGAGGCUGCCCCAGGCCAGGAGUCACCUGUGAACUGAGGUGGCCAAGGCAGGUUCUGUGGCAGAGGGUGAAUGCCUGCAGAUGAGAACCAGCCGCGGUGCCCAGAAAGGAACAGUGUGCGGGCCUGACGGGAGCCCCCAUCAAUACAACCAGCUCCUGCUCAGAACUCUCUUCAGGCAGACAAAU
RNAcentral lists this long non-coding RNA (281 nucleotides) under Homo sapiens (human). RNAcentral describes it as "non-protein coding lnc-ERCC6L2-2:7". The record is from RNAcentral. Lineage: Eukaryota; Metazoa; Chordata; Mammalia; Primates; Hominidae.